Molecule: long non-coding RNA, 222 nt
Filed under: Penaeus japonicus
Lineage: Eukaryota; Metazoa; Arthropoda; Malacostraca; Decapoda; Penaeidae
Description: uncharacterized LOC122265996
Source: RNAcentral
CCUCAAGGACGACAAGUACUACGAGCGCAGGAAAAGGAACAACCUCGCGGCCAAGAAGUCGAGGGAUGCCAGGAAGCAGAGGGAGGACCAGGUCGCCAUGCGGGCUUCAUACCUGGAGAAGGAGAACGCCAUCUUGAGAGCUCAGGUCGCCACGCUCAGAGACGAGGCUUCUUCCCUCAGACACCUCCUGCUGCAGAAGAAGACGAAGCAGCAGUAGAUUAA